RNAcentral lists this transfer RNA (66 nucleotides) under Metriorrhynchus inaequalis. Its description in RNAcentral is "tRNA-Phe". Lineage: Eukaryota; Metazoa; Arthropoda; Insecta; Coleoptera; Lycidae. The record is from RNAcentral.
UAUUUUAAUAGCUUAUUUAAUAAAGUAUAAUAUUGAAGAUAUGAAAGUAUAUUUACUUUAAAAUAU